This 450-nucleotide ribosomal RNA is filed under the name uncultured bacterium. RNAcentral describes it as "partial 16S ribosomal RNA". It matches the Rfam family "Bacterial small subunit ribosomal RNA", at positions 354 to 796 of the family's 1533-position model. The record is from RNAcentral.
GUGGGGAAUUUUGGACAAUGGGCGCAAGCCUGAUCCAGCAAUGCCGCGUGCAGGAAGAAGGCCUUCGGGUUGUAAACUGCUUUUGUACGGAACGAAACGGUCCGGGUUAAUACCCUGGGCUAAUGACGGUACCGUAAGAAUAAGCACCGGCUAACUACGUGCCAGCAGCCGCGGUAAUACGUAGGGUGCGAGCGUUAAUCGGAAUUACUGGGCGUAAAGCGUGCGCAGGCGGUUGUGUAAGACAGGUGUGAAAUCCCCGGGCUUAACCUGGGAACUGCGCUUGUGACUGCACGGCUAGAGUAUGGCAGAGGGGGGUGGAAUUCCACGUGUAGCAGUGAAAUGCGUAGAGAUGUGGAGGAACACCGAUGGCGAAGGCAGCCCCCUGGGCCAAUACUGACGCUCAUGCACGAAAGCGUGGGGAGCAAACAGGAUUAGAUACCCUAGUAGUCC